RNAcentral lists this unclassified non-coding RNA (580 nucleotides) under Eurytemora carolleeae. RNAcentral describes it as "uncharacterized LOC111707712". Lineage: Eukaryota; Metazoa; Arthropoda; Copepoda; Calanoida; Temoridae. The record is from RNAcentral.
UUAAAUACCAAUUAUUUCAGUUCAAAAUGUUCAACCUCUGGAUAAUGGUAUUUUUUAUACAGGCUGUAGCUGGUGAUCGGAACACGAUUUACAAAAGAGAAUUGGUAGAUGAAGAGCAUUGGCAGGGAUUACCUGGACGGGAAGUUAUUAACACCAGAACUGAAGUACAGUGUGCUGUCUUUGCCAAUCUGAAGGCUGAUCUCCGAAAUGCAAUCAGAUUCAGUGCUGGAGUAUGUGAGGUUGGUUGGCUGAACUCACCCCCUCCUCAGUCAACUAGUUCAGUUAUUGACGUGAAAGUGAGAAUGAGCUUGAUGUGGAGGUAGUGUAAUGUGCUCAUUCCAAGAAUCAGAUAUAUGUGAACGGAGCAGCAAACUUAUUCACAAUCCUUUCCAGUUUUUUAAAUGGGACAUUGAUGGUAAAAAUGGAGUAUAUUUACCAAGAUCCAGUGCUGAAGAAUGCCAACAGAUUUGUGACAAUACCUUAGAUUGUGUGGGUUGGGUUUGGAAUUCUGCUAAUACAGUCUGCUAUCCUAAACUAGAAGGCACUUUGAAUGUAUACAUUUCUAACAAGUACAGGCAAG